GGAUCUGUUAAUAUCAUUACUCAAAAUAACAGACAGACAAAAAGAUAUUCAAUCUCUCAUGUGAGGGAGCAACCUGAGUGAAAGUUAAGCAAAUCUUAAAAUCUUGGUAAAUCUUCAAAAAGCCUUUAAAAUUCUCAUCUGUAUUGCAAAUCUCUGAGAAGGAAAUAAAGCAGCCAGUGUUGUCAAAAAUAACUUGAACAUGAAAUUCAUGUCGUGCAGAAAAUAUUGUAGGACUUGUGUGCUACAGAGCCUAUCUUAGAAAAUCACCUAAUGGUUACAUUCUUGAGGACCUACUAGGGACUGAUGUUGAAGCUGAAGCUUCAAUACUUUGGUCUCUUGAUGCGAACAGUGGAUUUACUGGAAAAGACCCUGAUGCUGGGAAAGACUGAGGGCAGGAGAAGAGGGAGGCAGAGAAUGAGGUGGUUCAAUAGCAUCACCAACUCAAUGGACAAGAAUUUGAGCAAACUCUGGGAGACAGUGGAGGACAGAGGAGCCUGUCAUGCUGGAGGUCCAUGGGAUCACAAAGAAUUGGACAUGACUUAGUGACUGAACAACAACUAGGGACCAGGGGCUCUGCCAACCUUAAGACUCUUAGUCCUGACAAUCCUCUGCAAAAUUCUCAUUAUCCCGCUUUGCAAAUGAGGAUUUGUUUUAAAAUCACUCAGCCACUGAGUCUCUAACUCCCCAGUCCUCCUCCCUUUGCAUCAGGCUUCCUUCCACAUCAUAGAUACACGAGAUCUUCAGAAUCAGACUUCCCCAUCUUUCUCGAGAACACCCGAUCACUGCAUUUUGCUGAGGUGCUUUCGACAAUUUCUGAAGUCCCUUCCUGGGAUGCAGGAUUUCAUGCAUCACAGGACUGCUGAUACCAGCCUCCAAUCUGUUGGCAUUCACCUGCCGUUACACACAGCUUCCGGUGGAAUCAUUCGGAUUUUAGAUUACUUCUCUUCCUUUGUUCCCCAGAACCUGACAUCUAUAAACAUGACAACACCGGCAGAAAAGGGCAGGAGGAACAGUCUCCAGCUUCCUAAUGGGGGCUGGUGUGAUGUGGGGAGGAGAGGGAGGGUGCAGAUAAGGUCCUGAUGUCUCAGGCAGCCCUGGAAUUGACACGUACCACUCCAGUGCUUGCAGUCUCCGCCAUCACACACUGCUCGGUGUUAAAUUUAGAAUAAAAACCAAUUAAAAGAUAACAAGGAAACAUAUGCUCGGGAUGGCCAGAUGACUGGGUCUGGGCUGGUUGGAGGAAGUGUUCGCAUCGUGCCUUGAGCUGGGUUCAAGGUGUUUCCACUUGGGGUUCCGGACAAAGCACAGGCUACUCGUGAGGUAAGGAUGCAGAUCUCAGUCAGCAGGACAAGACAGCCGCCCACUGUCUUCCUCACCUCAGCCUUCCUUGGAUCCUCCCACCUCCCUGCUGAUCCCUCAUGGUCUCCUUUGCUGAACUACCCCUCCACCUGCCAUCUUCACCUGGCCUCUAACUGUGCAAGCAAUUCAGAGUUUGGGCUGGGACCAGCUUUGCUUCUAUGUCUUCCUCCCCGGAGAGUUCAAUCAUGCUGUCCCACAGAUGCUGACUAGCCAAACAAAAGAAGAGAAGACAGAAGAUGAGGCUGGCAAAAGAAAGAGCUAUGCUUGGCCUCAACAUCUAGAAUCCCACAGUGGGCCAGGAGCCUUCUCUGACUACCCAUGUACUCCUGACGCCUAGCACGGCACUGAUCUACAGCAAAUGACAUACGUUUCUGAAUGAAGGCAUACACAUCAUUACUUUGCAGAGGAACUCAGCCUUCCCUCAUGGUGCUGCUAAUCGAGGUCUAUGUGCCCUUGACCCUGCUGUCACCAAUAUAUCAGUCGUUGUGUCAAAGGGUACUAGUGAAUUUCGUAGAGGGAAGUUGAUCUGAUUGGAAAACCAUCUUCCUCUCAUCAGUAACAGAGACAGAAAUGACAUACACUGGGGCCUUUGACUGUUGUAACAUUAACCAGCUUCAUUGUGUAGUGUAGCUGGCAGUUGGGGCCACAUUCGAAAAUGAUGUCAACUACUCGCAUUUUUUUCUAAAUUAAUGACUUACCUAAUCCAUUUUUUUUUUCUGCUGAUUUCCUUGACAUUAGUUUUUUCUUAUGUAUUUUUAAUUUUUUCAUUUAAUUUUCAUCUUUUAGUCAUUGAACCAACUUCCAAAGAGUUCCAUGAGAUUCAGGGAGACAGUCUCUGAUGACAGAGGAAUGCAAACUAGUAAUAAGUAGUGGCCAAUGGAUAAGCUUUGAUGAAAGGGGUUUGUUGAUUUGUUGGUUUAAGUCAAUGUAGUUUUAUGUCUUGUGUUGCAUUCCUAUACAAGUUGCAUUCCUACUUGCUUUUAGAAAAAGCAAUGAUAGGAAAGGUGGUAAAAGAAAAACUAUUGUUGGCUCCUACAGCACCAAGUGGUAGCCAGAAAGUUGAAAUAACCAUCACGUAUUGGAGGUCCACACAUGGAUUUGCCCCAGUUCCUAGUAUAUAAUUCCAGUCCUACCUUGUGCUGCUCACUCAGUUUUAAAGACUAGCCUAUUCUUCCUGUGCCAAAUCCUAGGACAUGACAUAGAUCCUGAGACAGGGCAAGUGCAUGAUAUCCCCCACACGAAACAAUCAAACCUGGAGAUAUGGAAGAGGGAUGAUGAGAGGGAGACUAGCCACGGGCUGAAGGAAAAGGUGUUUGAGGCAAUGCUGUCUUAGACAACAGGCUGCUGUUUCCCUUGGAAGGGGAAAAGGAGGAGACAAAAGUAUGGCACUCACUUACUUAUUCAACCAACAUGUACUGACUGCCUGCUAGAUGCCAUGCUUGGCAUUGUGUGUUGCAAGAGAUGGGGUAGGAGUAGGGAGUGAUCUCGGAGAUUCGUUAGCUGUAGCCCCCACCUUUCAGAAAUUGUUGACCCCCUUGUGCCUCUGAGAACACAAGAGUAUUCCUCUAAAGCACGUUAUUAAGGGAGAACAGGAAAAGAUAGGAGCCUAACAAAAACACAGAAACUAUUAGUCAAUUAUCUCUCAACUCCAACACCCACUUACGCUGGAACUUGGGUUGUUACUAGAGCCAAGGUCUCCCCUCUGGGGCUUAAGGGGAACCCAAGCCUGCAUCUGUAUGCCGCCGGUGCAACCAGACAGUUCAGGUUUUGAGUCAAAAGUAAAGGGAAGGCUGCUGCAGCUGGACACCUGCAUGAAUUUCCCCCUUCAGAAGAUGCACCUGACAGCUCCUUUGCACUUAAAAAGCAGCAACACCGGGCUGCUUAUCAAAGCUUCCCAGGGAUUCUUUUCCACAGAGAGCACAGUCUUAUAGCCUCCCUUCCCCCAUCAAAAAAAAAAAAAAUCCCUCUCAUAUGGGUGGGGUUUAUUUCCUGGUUUUUUCUCAGCAAAAGAGCUACAUAACUGGGACUGAAAAUAGCUCCCAAAAGAUGUGAUUCUGGUCUUGAUUUUUGUAAUGAAGGUUUGACGUCCCUGUUCCACUGGGCUAGUUAGUGAUUUGUGACUUCUAAAAGACACAGCGGUGUUUCUAGGAAGAACACAUUUAUCCAGUUUUACUCUCUGACAUUUUGAUCAGCUGCUAUUUUGUUCAAAAAUUAGUGAACUGAACUGAAAUUUUUAUUGAAAUAAUGCUAGUAAUAAUAAUAAUAAUAAUAGUGCUAAUAAUGAGUCAAAAUGCAUAGAACAGUUACAGGAUGCUAGAAACUCUGUUUCAUAAAUAAUUAUUGUAUCUGAUCCUUACUUGUAAGCUAAGUAUCAAUAGCCCUAUUUUACAGACAGAGAAAAUGAGGCUCACAGCCAUUAAGUAAACUUAAUAAAAAUUCUGACGCCUA
Molecule: long non-coding RNA, 3807 nt
Organism: Bubalus bubalis (water buffalo)
Lineage: Eukaryota; Metazoa; Chordata; Mammalia; Artiodactyla; Bovidae
Exons: 4
Source: RefSeq, a predicted model, not a curated record